This 817-nucleotide long non-coding RNA is filed under the name Cricetulus griseus (Chinese hamster). RNAcentral's name for it is "lncRNA (ENSCGRG00015034197.1)". The record is from RNAcentral. Lineage: Eukaryota; Metazoa; Chordata; Mammalia; Rodentia; Cricetidae.
CAGGGGAGGGCCCCAGCCUACACUCAGGGUGGCUCUUCCUCCUCAGUGAGUCCUCCCUGGAAGCAUCCUCACGGAAGUCAAGCUGGCCACGAAGACGAGCAUCCCCGCAUGUCAGUUGUCCUCCACCUGCCUCUGCACCCAGGGGCUUCAGGUUGAACGCUGUUACUUCCAGUGGGGGACUGGUCCCGUAUUUAGUGGUAGACAAGGGGUUGCAGGAAGCCAAGAAAGACAAGCGUGGGUGGAUGCUGGGAUGGUUUUCUCCUUUGCUCAUCUCAUUCAGUCAACCCUCUUUGGAAACAGUCGCUGAGAUACUCCCAGAGGCCACACCAGUGAAAACACUUAGCAACUUGGAAGCUUCAGUACUAUGGGCUGAAUAAACUCUUUUUCAUUACAAGUUGUCUCCUUUUGGGAAUUUGUUAUGGUAUCAAAAGAACAGGACUGGUAUAAACAACAGAGAGAAUCACCCAAGCUACCAUUUGCUAAGUACAUAUGAUGAGAUCAAACUAACCUGAGGGCAUUAAACAUGCCGACUCAGUUAUUAUCCAAACACAUUUAUGUGACAGAUGGAGUCUACUCAGUUUAUGGAGGAAGAUAAGAUACAAAGAAACGGAGAGGCUUGGCUUGGGUCAGACAACCUCAGCACAUGGCAGAGAGGCGGGGCUCUCUGAGGUCAUCAGCUGGAUUCCAGGAACUUCACCUGUCCACCAGGAUGUCCUGCGACAAAGUCAGGCCUUCAGCAACCUCUUGUGAGCAGGGACUCCCAUCCACCCUCUCUGAGUCCCCGAUGAGUUCUUCUGAGCAGUUGUGCACACAGUGG